GAUAAGUUGUUGAUCUUCCUGGUUGUCUGCCUGGCGGCUCAGCCCCUUCUGGCCUCGCCCCUGCUCAAGAAGCAUCUCAGGGGGCUGCUGGAUAACAUUGACUUCGGCAACAUGGGGAUGAUCUGCACGUGCGAGAUCCGUUGCUGUCCCGCCAAGCCGAGCAAGCGGUUCGUCCAGAGGAGAAGUCUCCCCAAGUCCAUCAACAAUGCUCAGCUCAGCUCAACAAGAUGCUGCGGCUGUACCGACUGUGGAGCCAACGGAAUUCUGUUCCCUGGGCCAAUCGGAAAAUAGAUGGCGACACCUGACGCAGUAUGGCGGACAGGCGACUUCCGGUUUAUCCGUGACGAUGUUUCUUUGACAAAACUUCAGUGUAAAUUUAUUGUACAAUAAAAAAGUAGAUUUUAGUUUAUUCA
This is a long non-coding RNA of Lineus longissimus, 413 nucleotides long. RefSeq lists it as uncharacterized. Lineage: Eukaryota; Metazoa; Nemertea; Pilidiophora; Heteronemertea; Lineidae. The record is from RefSeq and is a predicted model, not a curated record. The transcript is spliced from 2 exons.